RNAcentral lists this ribosomal RNA (596 nucleotides) under uncultured bacterium. Its description in RNAcentral is "bacterial SSU rRNA". It matches the Rfam family "Bacterial small subunit ribosomal RNA", at positions 338 to 951 of the family's 1533-position model. The record is from RNAcentral.
CCUACGGGAGGCAGCAGUGGGGAAUCUUGUGCAAUGGACGAAAGUCUGACACAGCCACGCCGCGUGCGGGAAGAAGGCCUUCGGGUUGUAAACCGCUUUCAGCAGGAACGAAAAUGACGGUACCUGCAGAAGAAGAUGCGGCCAACUACGUGCCAGCAGCCGCGGUGAUACGUAGGCAUCAAGCGUUGUCCGGAUUUAUUGGGCGUAAAGAGCUCGUAGGCGGUUCAGCAAGUCGGGUGUGAAAACUCUGGGCUUAACCCAGAGCCUGCACUCGAAACUGCUGUGACUAGAGUUCGGUAGGGGAGCAGGGAAUUCCUAGUGUAGCGGUGAAAUGCGCAGAUAUUAGGAGGAACACCAAUGGCGAAGGCACUGCUCUGGGCCGAUACUGACGCUGAGGAGCGAGAGCGUGGGUAGCAAACAGGAUUAGAUACCCUGGUAGUCCACGCCGUAAACGAUGGGCACUAGGUGUGGGUCUCUAACCAACGAGAUCUGCGCCGUCGCUAACGCAUUAAGNGCCCCGCCUGGGGAAUCGGUCGCAAGACAAAACUUAANGAAUUGACGGNNGAGACGNGACGAGACGACGACGAGGGAGGAGG